This 109-nucleotide transfer RNA is filed under the name Kwoniella pini CBS 10737. It matches the Rfam family "tRNA". From Rfam's summary of the family: Transfer RNA (tRNA) molecules are approximately 80 nucleotides in length. Their secondary structure includes four short double-helical elements and three loops (D, anti-codon, and T loops). The record is from Rfam by way of RNAcentral. Lineage: Eukaryota; Fungi; Basidiomycota; Tremellomycetes; Tremellales; Cryptococcaceae.
GCGGAUAUAGUGUAGUGGUAGCACGCGUCCUUCGGGCUUUAACAAUCCCGAUCGCAUCGCGAUUUUAUACCUCUGGACGAAGUCCUGGGUUCAAUCCCCAGUAUCCGCC